GAAGAACUGGGAAAUCAUGGCCG
This 23-nucleotide non-coding RNA is filed under the name Cricetulus griseus (Chinese hamster). The record is from RNAcentral. Lineage: Eukaryota; Metazoa; Chordata; Mammalia; Rodentia; Cricetidae.